AGUAGAAUUGCUGGGUCAGAUGAUAAUUCUAUGUUUAACUUAUCAAGGAACUGCCAAACUAUUUUGCACAGUGACCUCAUCAUUUUACAUUCCCACCAGCAAU
This 103-nucleotide microRNA precursor is filed under the name Marmota monax (woodchuck). The record is from RNAcentral. Lineage: Eukaryota; Metazoa; Chordata; Mammalia; Rodentia; Sciuridae.